UGGGGAAUUUUGGACAAUGGGGGAAACCCUGAUCCAGCAAUGCCGCGUGUGCGAAGAAGGCCUUCGGGUUGUAAAGCACUUUUGUCAGGGAAGAAAUCCUUCGGGCUAAUACCCUAGGGGGAUGACGGUACCUGAAGAAUAAGCACCGGCUAACUACGUGCCAGCAGCCGCGGUAAUACGUAGGGUGCAUGCGUUAAUCGGAAUUACUGGGCGUAAAGCGUGCGCAGGCGGUUGUGUAAGACAGGUGUGAAAUCCCCGGGCUUAACCUGGGAAUUGCAUUUGUGACUGCACGACUAGAGUGUGUCAGAGGGGGGUGGAAUUCCACGUGUAGCAGUGAAAUGCGUAGAUAUGUGGAGGAACACCAAUGGCGAAGGCAGCCCCCUGGGAUAACACUGACGCUCAUGCACGAAAGCGUGGGGAGCAAACAGGAUUAGAUACCCUGGUAGUCCACGCCCUAAACGAUGUCAACUAGUUGUUGGGGAUUUACUUCCUUGGUAACGUAGCUAACGCGUGAAGUUGACCGCCUGGGGAGUACGGCCGCAAGGUUAA
RNAcentral lists this ribosomal RNA (549 nucleotides) under uncultured Burkholderiales bacterium. RNAcentral describes it as "bacterial SSU rRNA". It matches the Rfam family "Bacterial small subunit ribosomal RNA", at positions 355 to 897 of the family's 1533-position model. The record is from RNAcentral. Lineage: Bacteria; Pseudomonadati; Pseudomonadota; Betaproteobacteria; Burkholderiales.